Molecule: ribosomal RNA, 372 nt
Filed under: uncultured bacterium
Lineage: Bacteria
Description: bacterial SSU rRNA
Rfam family: Bacterial small subunit ribosomal RNA
Source: RNAcentral
GGAGGGUGCGAGCGUUGUCCGGAAUCACUGGGCGUAAAGGGCGCGUAGGUGGCCUGUGGAAGUCUGCGGUGAAAGCCCGGCGCUCAACGCCGGGUCGGCCGUGGAUACUCUCGGGCUUGAGCUUACUAGAGGCAGAUGGAAUUCCGGGUGUAGCGGUGGAAUGCGUAGAGAUCCGGAAGAACACCGGUGGCGAAGGCGGUCUGCUGGGGUAAUGCUGACACUGAUGCGCGACAGCGUGGGGAGCAAACAGGAUUAGAUACCCUGGUAGUCCACGCCGUAAACGAUGGGCACUAGGUGCUUGGGGGAGCGACCCCCUGAGUGCCGUCGCUAACGCAUUAAGUGCCCCGCCUGGGGAGUACGGCCGCAAGGGUG